AUACUUAUCUGGCAGGGGGGAUACCAUGAUCAUGAAGGUGGUUUUCCCAGGGCAAGGCUUAUCCAUUGCACUCUGGAUCUGACCCCUACGAUUUCCCCAAAUAUGGGAAACUUGACUGCAUAAUUUGUGGUAGUGGGGGACUGUGUUCAUGCUUUUCCCUG
This is a small nuclear RNA of Callithrix jacchus (white-tufted-ear marmoset), 161 nucleotides long. Its record names the gene U1. It matches the Rfam family "U1 spliceosomal RNA". Rfam says of the family: U1 is a small nuclear RNA (snRNA) component of the spliceosome (involved in pre-mRNA splicing). Its 5' end forms complementary base pairs with the 5' splice junction, thus defining the 5' donor site of an intron. There are significant differences in sequence and secondary structure between metazoan and yeast U1 snRNAs, the latter being much longer (568 nucleotides as compared to 164 nucleotides in human). The record is from Ensembl. NCBI's taxonomy places the organism in Eukaryota, Metazoa, Chordata, Mammalia, Primates, Cebidae.